This is a long non-coding RNA of Myotis lucifugus (little brown bat), 499 nucleotides long. RefSeq lists it as uncharacterized. The transcript is spliced from 2 exons. The record is from RefSeq and is a predicted model, not a curated record. Lineage: Eukaryota; Metazoa; Chordata; Mammalia; Chiroptera; Vespertilionidae.
CCGCCCCCACCUGCCUUCCCCGGUACAGGCCCGGCUCUGGUUCCGCAGCCUUCCCGGCGCCCGGGGACCGGAGGCCACCAUGUCCCAGCGUUUCGUGGUGACCCCCGCGGGGGGCGGAGUGGAGAAUCCCGACCCCGCAGCUGCCCCGGAGUCGCCGCGGGUGGACGCGCUGCCCAUUCUGCACUACGGACGUGAGCCGAGCCGCUACGGCUACAAAAACAAGCAAACAAACAAACAAACAAAAAACUUGAAAUGAACUUGUCAAAUGAUGAAAAUUCAUCCUUUCCAGGGAAGCAGAAGGUAGACCAGUGCAGGUUAUCCUCAAGGCCAUACAUCCUGCUUCACUGCUGCUGGCACUCUGCUGGGUUUUGAUCCUUCUUUGAGUCAUAGUCUGGAUCAUUUUCCUCAUCUUCUUCUUCCCCUUCCUCAUCUAUUUCUUCACCUUCAUCAUCAUCAUCAUCAUCUUCAACCGCUUCUCCAGUAAAGUAUUAUGAAACUU